GGGGUUGUGGCUCAGCGGUAGAGUGUUCGCCUACCACGUGUGAGGCCCUGGGUUCCUGGGUUCGAUCCUCAGCACCACA
RNAcentral lists this transfer RNA (79 nucleotides) under Marmota monax (woodchuck). RNAcentral describes it as "tRNA.Gly". Lineage: Eukaryota; Metazoa; Chordata; Mammalia; Rodentia; Sciuridae. The record is from RNAcentral.